Molecule: ribosomal RNA, 374 nt
Filed under: Actinomycetales bacterium
Lineage: Bacteria; Bacillati; Actinomycetota; Actinomycetes; Actinomycetales
Description: bacterial SSU rRNA
Rfam family: Bacterial small subunit ribosomal RNA
Source: RNAcentral
UUUACGGAGAGUUUGAUCCUGGCUCAGGACGAACGCUGGCGGCGUGCUUAACACAUGCAAGUCGAACGAUGAACCCGGAGCUUGCUCCGGCGGAUUAGUGGCGAACGGGUGAGUAACACGUGAGUAACCUGCCCUUGACUCUGGGAUAACUGCUAGAAAUGGUAGCUAAUACCGGAUACGACCCUCGGCGGCAUCGCCAGGGGGUGGAAAGAAUUUCGGUCAAGGAUGGACUCGCGGCCUAUCAGCUAGUUGGUGAGGUAAUGGCUCACCAAGGCGACGACGGGUAGCCGGCCUGAGAGGGUGACCGGCCACACUGGGACUGAGACACGGCCCAGACUCCUACGGGAGGCAGCAGUGGGGAAUAUUGCACAAUG